GUCUGACUGCUGUGGAAGACAUACUUUGUAAUCUAUUAAAAUCCUCUUUCCCCUUUCAAAUUCUUCCAUCCACAUGCAUGUAAAUGUAAUGUUGAGUCGACCAAGUCCUCCAAGGCUUUUACAUUACAAAUAAGUACUCCACUGCAGACAGUAGGGGGCAGCAGAGCGCUGCCUGCUGCCGGUUGGGGACUGUUUUGAUGACGUAGCUGUCGUCGUCUUGCCGUUCCGGCAAGAUCGUCGAGAUCCUCCUGUUUUACAGGUUUAUUACCUUUCCACGUGCCCUGUGCCUGGGGCUUGUAAGACAUAUAAGCUGGCUUGCCAACCGGCAAUAAAAGAAUAGCAGAAACAACAGCAAAAAGCUUUCGCCGUGGAAGAUACCGUCGCUAAGGAGAAGGAAUUGAGGAGGACUCUUCAACCGAUGAGGCUCGUCUUGGAAGACGGGGAAAUCCAGAGACCUGGAACGUGAAGGUCCAGAAAAGUAUGUCCAUGCCAGUCUGCAACCUGCUAAAGGUUCACUAAACUCUACUGCAGAAAAGCAGAAGACACAUCAUAAGAACAAGAUUUCUAAGUAUUUCUGGGGGAAUUUGGACUGGAGAAAUGAUUGUGAAGUCUGUGGUGGAGGGGAGCACUGUAAAGCGGCGGCGGACAGGAGCAGAUGAAUCCAGAAGAAAGACCAGUGUGAUGCCUACUGUUCUUUCAAGCCUGGAAACAUCGAAGCAGCUUCAUGGGACACAAAGCCUGCGAAGCAAAAGGAUAAAGAUGAUGCAGAUGAGAAGACCUUGUUGGUGCUCACUCCAAUUCCAGGCCAUACCGUGUGAGGUACGUAUCUUCAAGGACUUCUGCCAGAUGGGGAACUGGGAAAAAGCUGGGGAUCCAACAUUGCAUGACCUCCAAACAAUCAGAUACAACGUGGAUGGCACCACUCAGAUGACUGGGAAGCCUAUCUGUCCCCAUCUCUUAAAAGAAGAGUAUCACCACAGCAGCCCCACUGUGCGCAGCCAGCCAGCCAGUUAAAGAGCUGAAGUUCAAACAGCCCCAAGAACUGAAGGUUUUGCCCAAGAACUUCCACUCACCCUACGAUGGACUGGACCACGAGUGAUGCCCGUCACCAGCUGGAGCCUCACGCAGACGCACACACACUGAUGUACUUAGGCUAUAUUAGUUACAGUUGUUCAUUAAAAUGAGCGUAAUUAUAUUUUUGCAUUAUUUUUUAAAUACCUUUUACUGGUUUUAAUGGUUUUAACAUAAUUCCUAAUUGUUCAAAGUAUUAAGUCAAAUAUCUAGUAGUAGUCAAGACUCCAAUCAAUUGUCUCUCACAAAUAGUCUGACAGAUUCUUUAUCCUGGUUGUUCAUAAUAAUAAUUUUGAAUGUUGUGUGGUUUACACAGUAAAAUAAAUUUCAACCUUUACUGAUUAAACCGAUUUCAUUUUGUCAUUAUCAGCCAACAUUAUUCACAAUGUAAAGAUAGCUUAUUGAUGAUUAACAUGAUUUCAAAACAUGCAUCUUAUUAUUUAGCUUAGGUAUC
This is a long non-coding RNA of Micropterus salmoides (largemouth bass), 1525 nucleotides long. RefSeq lists it as uncharacterized. The record is from RefSeq and is a predicted model, not a curated record. Lineage: Eukaryota; Metazoa; Chordata; Actinopteri; Centrarchiformes; Centrarchidae. The transcript is spliced from 5 exons.